AGAAUCAACGCUGGCGGCGUGCCUAACACAUGCAAGUCGAACGAGAAAGUGGAGCAAUCCAUGAGUAAAGUGGCGCACGGGUGAGUAACACGUGACUAACCUACCCUCGAGUGGGGAAUAACUUCGGGAAACCGAGGCUAAUACCGCAUAAAACCUAAGGGUCAAAGGAGCAAUCCGUUUGAGGAGGGGGUCGCGGCAGAUUAGUUAGUUGGCGGGGUAAUGGCCCACCAAGACGAUGAUCUGUAUCCGGCCUGAGAGGGCGCACGGACACACUGGAACUGAAACACGGUCCAGACUCCUACGGGAGGCAGCAGUGGGAAUUUUGCGCAAUGGGGGAAACCCUGACGCAGCAACGCCGCGUGGAGGAUGAAAUCCCUUGGGAUGUAAACUCCUUUCGAUCGGGAAGAUAAUGACGGUACCGGAAGAAGAAGCCCGGCUAACUUCGUGCCAGCAGCCGC
This 458-nucleotide ribosomal RNA is filed under the name uncultured bacterium. RNAcentral's name for it is "SSU rRNA". It matches the Rfam family "Bacterial small subunit ribosomal RNA", at positions 26 to 518 of the family's 1533-position model. The record is from RNAcentral.